RNAcentral lists this ribosomal RNA (1960 nucleotides) under Vexillifera minutissima. Its description in RNAcentral is "partial small subunit ribosomal RNA". It matches the Rfam family "Eukaryotic small subunit ribosomal RNA". The record is from RNAcentral. Lineage: Eukaryota; Discosea; Flabellinia; Dactylopodida; Vexilliferidae.
ACCUGGUUGAUCCUGCCAGUUGUSAUAUGCUUGUCUCAAAGACUAAGCCAUGCAUGUGUAAAUAUAAACACGAUUUAGAAAAAGUGAAACUGCGAAUGGCUCAUUAAAUCAGUAAUAAUUUAUUCGGUGAAAAAGUAUUUGACUUGUAAAAGUGAAAUAUAUUACAUGGAUAACCGUGGUAAAUCUAGAGCUAAUACAUGCAUAAAGCUAUGGAGAAAAAGUUUCGAUUUUUUUGAAUAGUGCGUAUAUUAGAUAUUUGAAAACUUAUUUUCUACUUGAGCAAUUGAGUAAAUAAAAAAAAGGUGAAUCAUAAUAUUCAAAGCGGAUCGUAUAACUUUCGAGUUGACGACAAGCCGAAAAAAUUUCUGCCCUAUCAACUUAGGACGGUAGCAUAGAGGGCUACGGUGGUGAUGACGGGUAACGGAGAAUUAGGGUUCGAUUCCGGAGAGGGAGCAUGAGAAACGGCUACCACUUCCAAGGAAGGCAGCAGGCGCGAAAAUUACCCAAUCCCAACACGGGGAGGUAGUGACAAUAAAUAACAAAUGAUAUAUUUUUUAUAAAUAUAUUGUAUUGCAAUGAGAACAAUUUAAAUCCCUUAUCGAGAAUCCAUUCGUGGGCAAGUCUGGUGCCAGCAGCCGCGGUAACUCCAGCACGAAUAGUGUAUACGAAUUUUGUUGCAGUUAAAAAGCUCGUAGUUGAAAUUGAAAAUAAAUUAAUAUUAUUUUUUAAAAAAUAUUUAUUUUUUAUAGAGUAUUAAUUUAUUUUUUCUUUAAAAAAAAAAGUUGUAAUGAUUUUUUUUUUUAAUAUUACUUUGAAUAAAUUAGAGUGUUUAAAGCAAACAAAUAAAAAAAUUUUUUUAUAUUGUGUUUGAAUAUAUUAGCAUGGGAUAAUAGAAAAGGACAUAUAUGUUAUAUGUUAUAAAUUGGAAAAUAGGUUUAAUAGAUAUAUGUAAUGAUGAAUAGGAACGGUUGGGGGUAUUUGUCACUGAAGUGUAAGAGGUGAAAUUCAUGGAUUACUUCAAGACAAACAUCAGCGAAAGCAUUUACCAAGGACGUAUCCAUUAAUCAAGAACGAAAGUUAGGGGAUCGAAGAUGAUCAGAGACCGUUUUAGUCUUAACCAUAAACGAUGCCGACCAAGGAUAAUAGGUCGUUGCAUGGAUGACUCCUAUUGAACUUUUAUAAUAGUAAAGGGAAACCGUGAGUGUUUGGGUUCUUGGGGAAGUACGAUCGCAAGGUUGAAACUUAAAGGAAUUGACGGAAGGACACCACCAGGUGUGGAAUCUGCGGCUUAAUUCGACUCAACACGGGACAACUUACCAGGUCCAGAUACAGGAAGGAUUGACAGAUUGAAGCUCUUUCUUGAUUCUGUAGAUGGUGGUGCAUGGCCGUUCUUAGUUGGUGGAGUGAUCUGUCUGGUUAAUUCCGAUAACGAACGAGACCUCAGUUUAUUAAUUAGUUUAAAUUUAAUAAAAUUUUUUUUAUUAAAUAUUAAUUUUCAUAAAUUGAAAAAAAAAAUAAAUUUUUAUUUUUUAACUUCUUAGAAAGACUUUUCAUAUCCAGUGAAAGGAAGUUUGAGGCAAUAACAGGUCUGUGAUGCCCUUUAGAUGUUCUGGGCUGCACGCGCGUUACAAUGAAGAUAUCAACGGGUAAAAAAAAGAAUAAAUUUUAAUUUAUUUUUUUUAUUCCUUUAUAGAAUUAUAUGGGUAAACCUUUUCAACCAUCUUCGUGCUGGGGAUUGAUGAUGUAAUUUUUCAUCAUGAACGAGGAAUACCUAGUAGGCAUAAUUCAACAAAUUAUACCGACUCUGUCUCUGUCCUUUGUACACACCGCCGUCGCUUUCUACCGAUGAAUGAUCCGGUAAAAAAUUGGGAUUAUAAAAAAAAAAAAAAAAUUUUUUUUUUUUUUUGUAAAAACUUAUUUAAACCUUGUCAUUUAGAGGAAGGAGAAGUCGUAACAAGGU